GCAGGCUGCAACCCGCCUGCAUGAAGUUGGAAUCGCUAGUAAUCGCGGAUCAGCAUGCCGCGGUGAAUACGUUCCCGGGCCUUGUACACACCGCCCGUCACACCAUGAGAGUCGGGAACACCCGAAGUCGGUAGUCUAACCGCAAGGAGGACGCCGCCGAAGGUGGGGUUGAUGAUUAGGGUUAAGUCGUAACAAGGUAAC
RNAcentral lists this ribosomal RNA (201 nucleotides) under uncultured bacterium. RNAcentral describes it as "partial 16S ribosomal RNA". It matches the Rfam family "Bacterial small subunit ribosomal RNA", at positions 1300 to 1500 of the family's 1533-position model. The record is from RNAcentral.